GGGAUUGUGGCUCAGUGGUAGAGCACUGCCUUGCAUGUGCAAGGGCCUGGGUUCGAAUCUCAGCACCA
Ictidomys tridecemlineatus (thirteen-lined ground squirrel) is the source of this 68-nucleotide non-coding RNA. The record is from Rfam. NCBI's taxonomy places the organism in Eukaryota, Metazoa, Chordata, Mammalia, Rodentia, Sciuridae.